RNAcentral lists this long non-coding RNA (1751 nucleotides) under Vigna radiata. RNAcentral's name for it is "long non-coding RNA (VRAD_LNC000434)". Lineage: Eukaryota; Viridiplantae; Streptophyta; Magnoliopsida; Fabales; Fabaceae. The record is from RNAcentral.
UUUAAAAUGCAAACAAACAACACAGCAAAGCGGUAAAACUUGCUGCGCUUACAAAAAUGUAAUCAGGGGUUCUCACAAAAUCACAAAAACACAUAAAAACACAUAAUAAUAAUAAAAGAGCCGCCACCGUCGAUCAAGAACCCAAUUCUGGGAACAAAAGUUGGGAGAUGAUGGUGGAAACUUCAAACUAAGUACGAAAAACAAUCUACCUAGCGAUGACACAAGAGUACAAGCAAGAAACCAGCAUUUAUUGUAACCAUCCCCUGAUGAAUCACCCAGCACGAUUCACUUCUUCUUCUGGGCAGCCUUGGUGACCUUGGCUCCAGUGGGAUCCUUCUUCUCAACGUUCUUGAUGACUCCCACAGCAACAGUUUGACGCAUGUCCCUCACAGCAAAACGUCCAAGAGGUGGGUACUCAGAGAAAGUCUCCACAACCAUUGGUUUGGUAGGAACCAUCUUCACGAAACCAGCAUCACCGUUCUUCAAGAACUUAGGCUCCUUCUCGAGCUCUUUGCCAGAACGCCUGUCAAUCUUGGUCAUAAGUUCAGCGAACUUGACAGCAAUGUGGGAGGUGUGGCAAUCCAGAACAGGGGCAUAGCCAUUUCCAAUCUGACCAGGGUGGUUCAUGAUGAUAACCUGGGAGGUGAAGUUAGCAGCCUCCUUAGCAGGAUCAUCCUUGGAGUUUGAAGCAACAUAACCACGCUUGAGAUCUUUAACAGCAACAUUCUUCACAUUGAAACCGACGUUGUCACCAGGGAGAGCUUCUGUGAGAGCUUCAUGGUGCAUCUCGACAGACUUAACUUCAGUUGUCAGUCCAGUUGGUGCAAAAGUCACCACCAUUCCAGGCUUGAUGACACCAGUUUCAACACGUCCGACAGGAACAGUUCCGAUUCCUCCAAUCUUGUAGACAUCCUGAAGAGGAAGCCUGAGGGGCUUGUCUGAUGGCCUCUUGGGCUCAGUGAUCUGGUCAAGUGCCUCGAGCAAGGUAGGUCCCUUGUACCAGUCAAGGUUUGUGGACCUCUCAAUCAUGUUGUCUCCCUCAAAACCAGAGAUUGGAACAAAAGGAAUCUUGUCUGGAUUGUAUCCCACUUUCUUCAAGUAGGAGGAGACUUCCUUCACAAUUUCAUCAUACCUAGCCUUGGAGUACUUGGGUGUAGUAGCAUCCAUCUGAUCCACAGAAAGACAACAACAUCAGUUAAAACAAAUUAAAUUCAAAAGUAAUCAAUACAAGAGAAAUUAUUCAAAGGCUUAAAAUCUAAAACAUAAUUAACCUUGUUACAGCAACAAAUCAUCUGCUUCACACCAAGAGUGAAUGAAAGAAGAGCAUGUUCACGAGUCUGCCCAUCCUUAGAAAUUCCAGCUUCAAAACCACCAGUGGUGGAAUCAAUGAUCAGCACAGCACAGUCAGCUUGGGAUGUCCCUGUAAUCAUGUUCUUAAUGAAAUCCCUGUGUCCGGGAGCAUCAAUAACAGUGCAGUAGUACUUGGUGGUUUCAAACUUCCACAACGCAAUAUCAAUUGUAAUCCCUCUUUCACGCUCAGCCUUAAGCUUGUCAAGCACCCAGGCAUACUUGAAUGACCUCUUGUUCAUCUCAGCAGCUUCCUUCUCGAACCUCUCAAUCACACGCUUGUCAAUUCCUCCAAGCUUGUAAAUCAGAUGGCCAGUGGUAGUAGACUUCCCAGAGUCGACAUGGCCAAUGACCACAAUACUGAUGUGAACCUUUUCCUUACCCAUAAUUGCCUUUGGAAAUCU